GCCCGACAUUGUCAUUCUGGCGACUCCCGGAAAGUUCGAGAGAAGAUCAGAGCAAACGGUUUCAUGUCCGAGCAUCCUCCCGAAACUUCUUUCAUCUCCUUAUAAAUACGCAUCCAAUCUUUCGCUCCAUUCAUCAAUUCAGUGAAGCAAAUAAUCACACUUUCCAAUACUCAAACUUUCCAAUCAAGUCUAAUCAAUCACAAUGUCGCUCAUCCCAAGUUUCCGACGAAGCAGCAUCUUCGACCUCGAUCCCUGGGACCCAUUCAGGGAUUUCCAAUUCCCUUCCUCAUCGCUUUCUACAUUCCCUCGCGAAAACUCGGCCUUUGUAAACACCAGGAUCGACUGGAAAGAGACCCCAGAAGCCCAUGUGUUCAAAGCUGACAUUCCGGGGCUGAAGAAAGAAGAGGUGAAGGUUGAGAUUGGCACCGGGUCGAGAGAAGCAGUGGCAAGUUCUCCAGGCGAUUCAGGCUUCCUGAGAAUGCCAAGGUUGAUGAGAUUAAGGCUGCAAUGGAGAAUGGGGUUCUGAGUGUCACUAUUCCUAAGGUGGAGGUGAAGAAACCUGAUGUCAAACCCAUUGAAAUUUCUGGUUAAACCAAAAAUUUAACAUCAUCUUUCUGGGUUUGUCUCUCUCGUCCUAUCCAUAUAUGAUUGUCAACAAUCUGUAACCGUGUGAGUUUUGUCUGUGUCAAUGUGUCAUGUAACAUUAUAGAUUCGGAACUUGUAAUCUGAUAUCAUUUACUAGUGUGUUUCGCGUUGUAUUAUAUGAAUGUGCUCUGUUUUUCCCCUGCACUGUAAUGAAACUUAAUAUCCAAUCGCCUGAAAUUUGUUGGCCAU
Fragaria vesca subsp. vesca is the source of this 834-nucleotide RNA transcript. It is a transcript of the gene named 18.2 kDa class I heat shock protein-like, with no coding region annotated. The record is from RefSeq and is a predicted model, not a curated record. NCBI's taxonomy places the organism in Eukaryota, Viridiplantae, Streptophyta, Magnoliopsida, Rosales, Rosaceae. The transcript has a single exon.